Molecule: ribosomal RNA, 1149 nt
Filed under: Triticum aestivum (bread wheat)
Lineage: Eukaryota; Viridiplantae; Streptophyta; Magnoliopsida; Poales; Poaceae
Description: partial small subunit ribosomal RNA
Source: RNAcentral
AUGAUCUUCCUUCCUGCCUUCCCUGAUUCAUCAACCUUCUGGAACACCGACCACAACCAGCUUCAGCUGCAACAAUUCGGCACCAACAAUCAUAGUACUACUACUUUUUCACCUGCUAGUCCUAGUGAUGGAGAAUGCAGCAACAACAACAACAACAACAACAACAACAACAACAACAACAACAACAACAACAACAACAACAACAACAACAACAACAACAAGAACAACAAUCAAAAACGGUUCAUGGCCAUGGCCAAGGCCGGCUCCUGCGCUGCAGGGGGUGGCGAUGAUGGUUGCGGCGGUGCUGGGGACGGCGAUUGCGGUGGCAAUGGGAAAAGCAAGUCGAUGUCCAUGUCGGAGCGAGCACGGCUAGCGCGGUUGCCGCAACCGGUGUCGGGACUCAACUGCCCGCGAUGCGACUCCACCAACACCAAGUUUUGCUACUUCAAUAACUACUCCCUUACGCAGCCCCGCCACUUCUGCCGCUCCUGCCGCCGCUACUGGACCCACGGUGGCAUGCUUCGCAACGUGCCAGUCGGCGGGGGGUAUCGUCGCCAUGCCAAGCGCAGGGCCAAGCCUAAGGUGGUGUCAGACACCUCCCGAGCCGCUAUGGUAGGGACGUCUUCCGUGACAUCAACUAUGUCCAGCAGUACAACAUAUGUCACCGGCACCGGCACUGCACCACCCAGAUUGCAGUACCCCAUGUUCAGUAGCGCGCCAUCGCACGAUAACCAGUUCGUCGAUAGCUUCGACCCAGCGAAUAUUGGUCUCAGCUUCCCCAUUAGGCUGCUCUUUGCCGAUAGCGAUGCUUACGCAAUGGACGACUGUGCGCAGAACCACCACCACCAUGCUCAUGGGAACGGGAUGGAGCAGUUGUCGGCAACGCGGAAUAGUUUCCCAUUCAUCCACGUGGUGGAUCAUCAGAUGUCUGGACUACCAGCUGAAGCAAUGCCCAUCACGAUGGCUGCGAUGGAGGGCAUGUUCCACCUAAGGUUACAGAGCGUCGGCGGGGGUACUGGCGACGAGAUAGGAGGCCAACAGUUGCACCACCCGCUGGCCAAGAGAAACCACAAGCGCCAGGAUUACCCGAGCAGCAGGGGCAUGUAUAGGGACGUGGUCAAUGGCAAUUGCGGCGGCGAUUACAUUUAA